Stegodyphus mimosarum is the source of this 72-nucleotide non-coding RNA. Lineage: Eukaryota; Metazoa; Arthropoda; Arachnida; Araneae; Eresidae. The record is from Rfam.
GCCUUCGUGGUGUAGUGGUCAGCACGCUCUGCGCGUAUCGAGAGGUCAGUGGUUCGAGUCCCGGCGAAAGUA